ACGGAGGGAGCUAGCGUUGUUCGGAAUUACUGGGCGUAAAGCGUACGUAGGCGGUUAUUCAAGUCAGGGGUGAAAGCCUGGAGCUCAACUCCAGAACUGCCCUUGAAACUAGAUAACUAGAAUCUUGGAGAGGUGAGUGGAAUUCCGAGUGUAGAGGUGAAAUUCGUAGAUAUUCGGAAGAACACCAGUGGCGAAGGCGGCUCACUGGACCGUUGUUGACGCUGAGGCACGAAAGCGUGGGGAGCAAACA
Molecule: ribosomal RNA, 250 nt
Filed under: uncultured bacterium
Lineage: Bacteria
Description: partial 16S ribosomal RNA
Rfam family: Bacterial small subunit ribosomal RNA
Source: RNAcentral